CCUACGGGAGGCAGCAGUGAGGAAUAUUGGUCAAUGGACGAGAGUCUGAACCAGCCAAGUAGCGUGAAGGAUGACUGCCCUAUGGGUUGUAAACUUCUUUUAUAUGGGAGUAAAAUGUUCCACGUGUGGGAUUUUGUAUGUACCAUAUGAAUAAGGAUCGGCUAACUCCAUGCCAGCAGCCGCGGUAAUACGGAGGAUCCGAGCGUUAUCCGGAUUUAUUGGGUUUAAAGGGAGCGUAGGUGGAUUGUUAAGUCAGUUGUGAAAGUUUGUGGCUCAACCGUAAAAUUGCAGUUGAAACUGGCAGGCUUGAGUACAGUAGAGGUGGGCGGAAUUCGUGGUGUAGCGGUGAAAUGCUUAGAUAUCACGAAGAACUCCGAUUGCGAAGGCAGCUCACUGGACUGCAACUGACACUGAGGCUCGAAAGUGUGGGUAUCAAACAGGAUUAGAUACCCCUGUAGUC
Molecule: ribosomal RNA, 460 nt
Filed under: uncultured bacterium
Lineage: Bacteria
Description: partial 16S ribosomal RNA
Rfam family: Bacterial small subunit ribosomal RNA
Source: RNAcentral